Ictidomys tridecemlineatus (thirteen-lined ground squirrel) is the source of this 69-nucleotide non-coding RNA. The record is from Rfam. Lineage: Eukaryota; Metazoa; Chordata; Mammalia; Rodentia; Sciuridae.
GGGGUUGUGGCUCAGUGGUAGAGUGCUUGUCUAACAUGCAUGAGGUACUGGUUUCAAUCCUCAGUACCU